Molecule: long non-coding RNA, 491 nt
Filed under: Capra hircus (goat)
Lineage: Eukaryota; Metazoa; Chordata; Mammalia; Artiodactyla; Bovidae
Description: lncRNA (ENSCHIG00000005985.1)
Source: RNAcentral
CGGCGUGCCGGAUCGAGUGUGCCUGCGUGCUUAGUCGCUCAGUCGUGGCCGACUCUUUUGCAACCAUUUGGACUGGAGCCCACCAGGCUCCUCUGUCCAUGGGAUUCUCCAGGCAAGAAUACCGCAGUGGGUUGCUGUUUCUUCCUCCAGGGGAUCUUCCCAACCCAGGGAUCAAACCAGUGUAAAUACCAAGAGACUUCUACGCUGGAUCAGCUGUCCAUAAAUUCUAAAGCUCCACAGAUUCCAGACCGGUGGGAGGAGCACCCAGGCCUUCGUCCAGUGCCCGUGACUGCUUCUGACCGCAGCCCAGUUAACAAGACCGUGGGGCACCAUUGUUACUUAACCGGGCGCAUCCACGGUGCUCAUGAUUGUACGUCCAGUUGAGUGAAUCUUCUUUAAACCGUGAAGACCUAUAUCAAGCUCCAUCUGAACUCCGUCUCCUUCUUUUUUUUUUAAUCAUUAAGAACUGAGACUUUUUAUUGUAGUAAAAU